UUAGAACGUCGUGAGACAGUUCGGUCCCUAUCUGCCGUGGGCGCUGGAGAAUUGAGGGGGGCUGCUCCUAGUACGAGAGGACCGGAGUGGACGCAUCACUGGUGUUCGGGUUGUCAUGCCAAUGGCACUGCCCGGUAGCUAAAUGCGGAAGAGAUAAGUGCUGAAAGCAUCUAAGCACGAAACUUGCCCCGAGAUGAGUUCUCCCUGAGACUUUAAGUCUCCUGAAGGAACGUUGAAGACGACGACGUUGAUAGGUCGGGUGUGUAAGCGCAGCGAUGCGUUGAGCUAACCGAUACUAAUGAACCGUGAGGCUUAACCUU
RNAcentral lists this ribosomal RNA (320 nucleotides) under Enterobacter cloacae. RNAcentral's name for it is "partial 23S ribosomal RNA". It matches the Rfam family "Bacterial large subunit ribosomal RNA", at positions 2611 to 2925 of the family's 2925-position model. Lineage: Bacteria; Pseudomonadati; Pseudomonadota; Gammaproteobacteria; Enterobacterales; Enterobacteriaceae. The record is from RNAcentral. RNAcentral also lists the same sequence under 2 other names.